Molecule: long non-coding RNA, 601 nt
Organism: Amphiprion ocellaris (clown anemonefish)
Lineage: Eukaryota; Metazoa; Chordata; Actinopteri; Pomacentridae
Exons: 3
Source: RefSeq, a predicted model, not a curated record
AUUCUGAUAUAAUAACUGUUUAUUUAUCGGUGGAGCAGCACAACAUUUUCCACAGACAGUUUUCCUGCCCGUUGGCUUGUUUUAACCAGUUUUCUACCUUCGGCUGAUUCUACCAGCAGACACUGAAAGGACUCUAAUAGUUCGAGUGAAAGUAGCAGUUCCUCCUUAAGGUCAGAGAUUGCAGUAUCUGAGGGCCUCUUCAAAAGAAGACAUAGUUGAUGAAGGCGUUCUGGAGCAGGACCAGAAAGACCACGACCAAGCAGCCUUGAGAUCUUAGGCAGCGUCUCCCUCAGACAUCCACCAACCACUGGAACACAUCUCCAAAGUUCUGCCGGGCCAGCUCAGCUUCCCCUCAGAAGAAGUGCUGCCACCUGCCAGAUGAAGGAGCCUUUUGAGAGGCAGCUGGCAUCGUGAUUGGACUGUACUUUGGUCUGUUCCAAUCCAGCUUCAGCUCCAGAGACGGCAGGCGGGACGAGUCAACGGAGGCCGGGUGGACGAAGGCAUGCAGCUGAGUACAAUCCAGAAAACAACAGAGGAGGAGUGCAGUGGCCCAGAGCCAGAACAAACAGAGUAGCAUCGUAUGUCUCUUAGAAAACAUCAU